Molecule: RNA transcript, 2213 nt
Organism: Cornus florida
Lineage: Eukaryota; Viridiplantae; Streptophyta; Magnoliopsida; Cornales; Cornaceae
Exons: 9
Source: RefSeq, a predicted model, not a curated record
CCAACUCAAAAAAGCCAGGGCCGGCCUGACCCACGGCGACAAAAGCGGUCGUCUAGGGCUCAAAAAAUUUAUAGUUCACCUAAAAACGAAAUAUUUUUAGGGCAAAUCAUUUCAGCCUCCCCAUUCGCCUCCAUCUCUAUUCUCGUUCUCGACUCUGAACUUGCCCCAUCCUCUCUCUCUCUCUCUCCCUCUCCCUCUCUCUCCCUCUCUCUCUCCAACUGCAAACUACAAAAUCUACAAGAAUCAGAAGUUCAAAACCCAUAUAUUUCAGUUUAUCUAUCUGUCUGCAAGAAAUCAAAACCUAUUACCUAUAUCAAAACCCAUAUCGGCGUAUCAUUUCAGAUUGUUCAAAAAAUCAAAACCCAUAUCUUACAGUUUCCAUCGGCCGCUGUUCCAAUUCUAGGUCGCCGUUCGCAAGCUUCAGCCGAACUAUUUAUCAGAUCUGACACCCAACAUUUAUCAGAUCUGAGCCGUUCGCAAGCUUCAGCCGCUGGUCCGCUGUAUCUCAACUCUCAAGCUUGCCCCCUGUCUCUCUGCAACUGCUAACUUAAUUAGCAUCGGGCCUUAACAUUUAGCAAGAACAAGGUUCAAGAAACAUGCCUCCUCAGUCAUCAGGUCUCUUUUAUGAAAGAAGAGAGUCGAUAGGAAUGGGUGGAGUUGGCAAAAAAGAAAAUAGCUAAAAUUAAUGUUAAACACCAAUCCGAAGGAUCUAGUUGAGAAAGCUGAGAAAGCUGUGGGUAAAUUUAAGAACGGAAUUUAAAUACGAAUCCGAGAAUGACAUGAGCAAAUCAUUGGGAGAAUGACAUGAGCAAAUCAUGGGAGGGUGAGUGACAAAGAUUUGUAAACAAGCGUGAAAAAGUUAAGAGUAUUCCGUCGUCCGCCAGAUUUUUGUGAUUCACUUGCGUCGUCAUUUUCAUUAGAUGUCAGAAAUCCUUAUCUCCUAUCACCAAAAGACGUAAUUCUCGACUCUAAAGGGGAAAAUGCUCUAGUGGUUUAUGACCACUUUGAUGAGCACUACUCAGAGUGGACAAUGAGAGAGCACUACUCAAAAGAGGCAUUCUUCGUGAGGAACAGUUACAACAGCUUGGACUUGAACCCUUUCUGGAAAACAUCCAUAAGAAACAUCUUGGGUGCCAUCCAGGAUAUUCAUGCGAAGAAGUUUAAUAUUUCGUAAUUUGGAUAAGGCCAACGCAAAAAAUCUGAAGAAUCACCCAGUCCUCAUGACUGAUAAAGAGAGAUUCAACUAUUACAUGACAAUUGGGCACUAUAUGGAGAAACGUCUUCAAAACACCGUCCAAUUAAUUAAUAAAAAUAUCUAACAGACUCGACUGGCGUAACAUAAUAAAAGAUGAAACUCAUCCAAAUGGAAAUAAAUUUCUUGGAUAUGAGAUGAUGGGAUUUACAUUUACAAAUCAAGUCAUAGACCAGUGCGAGUACGGUGAUUCAUUGUGUCAGCUAAAUAUGUUGAUAACAAAUUUUGUGAAGCAUUUCGGAAAAUAUUUCCACAAAUCAUCGGGAGAGAACAAGAACUAUAUGGAAACUGAUGCAGCAUUGGAAAUCGGAUUCUUUUUUCCUGGUUUUUGUCAACUCAAAAAAUAUGAGGAAUGAUUCAACUAUUACAUGACAAUUGGGCACUAUAUGGAGAAACGUCCGUCCAAUUAAUUAAUAAAAAUAUCUAGCAGACUCAACCAUCGUGGCGUAACAUAAAAGAAGAUGAAACUCAUCCAAAUGGAAAUAAAUUUCUUGGAUAUGAUAUGAUGGGAUUUACAUUUACAAAUCAAGUCAUAGACCAGUGCGAGUACGGUGAUUCAUUGUCUCAGCUAAUUAUGUUGAUAACAAAAUUUGUGAAGCAUUCCGGAAAAUAUUUCCACAAAUCAUUGGGAGAGAAAGGUAUGAAUUUAAUUUUUUAAAAUUUUUAUUUAUUUUUAAUGUUUAAUUAUUUAUUACAUAUUUUUGUUUGCCUAGGACUAUAUGAAAACUGAUGCAGCAUUGGAAAUCGGAUUCUUUUUUCCUGGGUUUUUGUCAAAGCUAAAUGAGAUGUUCAUUCAGGAUUUGGGCAGCCAUGAUUUAUUAGAUUGAAUGCUUUGUAGUAUUAAAUUUUUUGUGAAUAUCCUGAAAUACUCAACUCAACUUUGCAAGAACUUGUUCUGAAAUUUGGUGUUAUUUCAAUAUAUUUUCUAUCAAGUCCUGACAAGGAAUUUCAAUUUAUUGUA